This is a long non-coding RNA of Harpia harpyja (harpy eagle), 671 nucleotides long. RefSeq lists it as uncharacterized. The transcript has 4 exons. The record is from RefSeq and is a predicted model, not a curated record. NCBI's taxonomy places the organism in Eukaryota, Metazoa, Chordata, Aves, Accipitriformes, Accipitridae.
AAUACUCCAGGACAGUAUGAACUAUUUGUCAUUCCCUAGUCAGAAGCCACUUUGUUCCUCCAUGUGAAGACAGAACUAGAUUGCUGCCUUAUAAAAUGUCCCUAAUAGGAAUGAUUUCAUGGUUUUAUUACUUUGGACCCCAGCAACUAUCCUGAAAGAUACUAACAGCAGAUGUUUACUAUGCUUGGCAGAUUGCAACAGGAAUGAGCUUUGCAUGAUCCUGGAGAGGAUGGAAGCGAGGAGUGAUCCAGUUCACGCUGUUGGUUCACACACAACCUGCCUUGAAAGAGAUCAGAACUCUUCAGCUGAACUGCACCUGAAAAGAAUUAUUUUACGGUCCAGAAAAAAUCUUCAGACCUGACUGCACAGGUAUCUAUUGAAUACAUCAGAGGAACUGGUUGCCAGUGAGAAAACCUGUUGUUGGAAUCAAGUUUUCUGUGGCCUUCAAUGUUGUGUUGAGCAAGCUAGGGCUUGCUGAGUGUGGGACUGCUGGGAGAGCUCAGAAAAGAGAAAGAACUGGAAGGGACUGAUGGCAGCUGGCAAGGGGCUGAGCUGGGGUCUGACCUAUGUGGAAAUCAGGGCUCAGCUUACAAUUAAUUUUUUGUAACUGAAACCACAUCAGACAACUUCCAUUGUAUCAGCUCACACCAUUGUAUCUGCUGUCACGGGUC